This is a long non-coding RNA of Harpia harpyja (harpy eagle), 4470 nucleotides long. RefSeq lists it as uncharacterized. The record is from RefSeq and is a predicted model, not a curated record. Lineage: Eukaryota; Metazoa; Chordata; Aves; Accipitriformes; Accipitridae. The transcript has 2 exons.
CGCUUCCUCCUCCGCGGCACCUGCGGCUGCCGCGGCGCGCCCGCACACCGGCGCAGCUCGGCUCGGCUCGGCUCGGCGCGGCGCGGCGCGGCGCGGCACGAGUGAAGCCCUUUUUGAAUUGCAUCCAGUUUCAUGACUCCACUAAAGACAAAUCAUACCACUGCAUGAAUAACUUCGGAGUGGAUUGUCUUUUGCAGUUCAUGUAACGAACGAGCGUCCGGGUCAUCCAAAUGGGCGAAUAGUUGAUGUAUCUGAGACUUGUUAAAGAAGUCAAGAUUUGAUUUCGUGUAACUGAAAUACAUCUGGGAAUGAUAUUUCUGAUAUGUGUGUAAAUGUGAAGAGAGUGGUGCCUAGUGUUUGCCUCUCUAUAGCCCUCUACCUCAUGGCCUCAGGGGCAGCGAGAGAAAGACUCUACUUUCCCAGCCUGCCUGGUAUGUGGCAUUAGAUGCUACAGCAUUGUUCUUGCAAACAUAUGCUGCUUCAAGCCAGAAAAAAAUCUAUUGUGUACAAGGGGGUUGACUGGGGUCCUUAGGAAGAUGGCUUAGUGUAAGUGGUAUGCUGAAAACAUCGUUCUUGCAGAUCUUCAGCAUGACGUAUUGCCUUCAGUCGGGUACUCACUGUUGCAUGGUCUGCUGUGCUUUGGGCUGAACAGCAUUUUCACAAAUGUCCUGUUAUCAUUGCAGAAAUAUUUCAUAAGCCAUAUGCUGAGUGCAGCAAUACAGAAGACGACUCCAGUCAUGCAGAAAUACAGGGCUGGACAUAACAUAAUGUAUGCUCCUAGUUGAUGGUCUUCCUUGUUUGUCUAUGGAAGAUACAGUUUUACUGGGGGGAGGAAAAAUAGUCUUUGUCCCCUGCUUUAUCGCUGCUCCGUGAGCACCUGCACCUGGCUUUGUGAUGGGGAAGCAACUUUGUAUCUUGGAUGUACCUAGCUCUUUGCACAUCUGAGGGUUUGGACUCCAAAGCAGAACUUGCUGUCAAAAGUGUUAGCGUUUCAACUGAGUUAAAAUGCAUUAUAAGUAAGUGCAUGAGUCUGAUCAUCUGCAGGCUCUGGUGGAACCUCCAGUAAAGGAUCUCAGACAGAAAGCCUGCCAGCCCGUCUUGGAGAUCUGUGAGAUCCGUGGGAGCCAGGAGCCACGUGCACUGAGGUUUGUGCCUUUGCGGUAGCCAUAGUCUUGCAAAGGCUUGCUUCAUGUGGGAAUGGGAAGGUGUAUGGGGGGAUCUGCAGUAUGUGUAACGAACUGUAGUGUCACUUCGUUCAUACACACAAGGAUACAAGCCAGAAUGGAUCUCUACAGGAGAACUGGAAUAAAAUUGUGGGUUUCUGUGGAAAAUGUGCACACUCAGAAGAAUAGCAGUCCUGCUAUGCUAGUGAUAACGUAGGAGCAAAGCACCCAAGAGGGUCUAAGGUUUAGGGAGGGUGCUGGAUUUUGUAGGGAAUGUGAGCUGGCUUUUGUAACUGCAAGUCCUUUCAUCAUCAGUCUGGGAAAUGCAUUAACAUUUGCUUUGUUUGCAUGUGUGACCCUCAGUCUCCUUUGGGUUUUGCCACGUUUGAGUUGAACUUCUUCAGCUGUUGGGAGGUCAGGAAGCUGCAGACAGAAGGUGGAUGAGAAAGUAGGCAACCUCAGGGAGUGCAGAGAGUGAGUGUGAGGGGACAGCUGGCAUUGCCAGCUCAGUUAAGCAAGUUCCCGUAGUCAAGAACAAUCCCAGAGGGUGCUCUGCUCCUGUAUUGCUCUCAGAACCAGUCUGUUAUUAUUUGCAUUAAUAUGUAUUUGUAGCAAUGUUAUUAAAUAUGCACUAUAAAUACACAUGAUGUGCAGGGCUAGUGUUUCCAAAACCACUUAGGCGUUAUGCAGGAGUAGUUUGUAACCAGCCAGGCUGGCUGAGAAAAGCAUUCCUAAACCGUGUUUCUAGCAGUGGCUUCUGCUGUUUGUACUGAGCAGACGCUCGGAUUCGGUGGGGUUUCACUGGAUAUGAAGGUUUGUUGCAGAUUUCUCAUUUGUGAUAAUAGGACAUGCUGUCUUCAUUGGGAUAUUCUACAGAACAAUCUGUGUGCACGCAAAGAACUGUAAAAUGUCAAGUGGUAUAUGGUAUUAAAUAUUAUGCAUAAUAAUUUUAUUACUGCUAAUUGUUUUUAGAGAAGUCUCCGAGUCUCCAUCCUGUUUUCUGACUCAUAACUGGUGAAUAUUCUUGAACGUCUAGUGAUGUUCCCUUGAAAAAAGCUGGAAAAGAUUGCCAAGAAGCUAAGUGAACCAGUUAGGCAUUUCCUUUGCCUUAAAAAAUGACCCAAGUAACAAGUAACAGCAUCGUAUUACCUUUCUUUUUGGGAAUGGUGGUGGAUAUUGGGGUCCCAGAGACUUUCCAACAUCAGUUCACCUGAUAAUGCAUUUGGACUUAUAGUAGGUUUGGAUCCUUUGGGAUAAUUAACUUACCCUGUUGGUUAUAGAGUGUAAAGUCAACUUACAAGAGAAAAUAAAGAACAGAAAGGACCUUCUGGAGUACACAUAAUAUGAAUUCAGUGUGUUUUGUGUUCCUGUCUCUUUUUGCCUUAAAGACCCUAUAGCCUCCGUUUCUAAAUGUGUUCCUGAAGCACUGGGAUUACUAAUUCACCUUCAGGUCUUUUAAUCAUUGGGACUUUUGCCUCCAGCUUCUCUGGUGAAGGACGUGAAGUGAGGAUCUUUCUGCAGUAUGCAACCUAAUCUAAUAAAGAAAAGGAAAACCUCAAGGGUAGAAAAAGCAGCAGCUACAUAUCAUGGGAUAGCAUCCUGCCUUAGGAUCACUUGCAGAAAUAUUUUCUUCAUUGUGUGCUACCAUCAAAGACAUUAACUGCACAUAACAUCAUUGCAUGCCUGAACUGACAGUAAUCAAAGGAGGUGUAUUCAUGGCUGUAUUUUGGAAGGGCAGAGCCAGGAUCUGUAUUACUGACUUCAGAGGAGGUGUACAGAGCAUGAGAGAGACAGAAUGCAUCCUUUGGGAAUAAUUUAAAAUAGGUAUGUGCAUGAAUCCUUCUGAUCCAUAUGAUUUUGUGGCUGUAUCUAAGAGACAAAUUGGCCUUUUUUUUUUCUUUUUUUUUUUUUUUGCAAGGCUUCUCUGCAAACUAUAUGAAUGUUUAUACUGUUAAAAGUGCUACUCAUGUCCAUGUUCUGUGUUUUGUCUGCAGGUUUAGGAAAAAAAAGGAGAAAAAACAGACAGGCAACUUUGCACUAACAAAGCACCUUUCUUGUGUUGUUCUCAGGAUACCUAGCAAACAGUAAAUUAAGACUUACAAAAAAGUCCCCCUUACCCUUCCUAUCAUCAUCAUGUGAGUUGUAAAAAUGAGGCAGAGAGUACUGUUGUCUCACUGGUGAUUUUAAUAUGAAUUUUUAUGAUUUUUUUUAUCACUAGUGGUACAAGAAAAAUGGAUAGUUUAUCUCUGAAGGAGGUUAGAAAAUUCUUGUCUCUUUUGGAUGUGUUCUUCACAAUGGAAGAAAUAUUGGGUACAAUUCUUGACCUGCCAACAUCAAUUGGCAUUUGCCACUGGUUUCUGUGAAGACAAGAUUUCCUUCUCUGUGCUACAAAUUAGUCAAUUUUCUUUGUAUAGUCACUUACUAAUGGGUUUCCCCUAUUUGUGAGGACCUAGUAUGUGUGAUAUGAACAUGAACGCAUUUUAUUUAGGGUUGGAAGUUUAGGGUUUAUUUAGUAUUGGAAGACUUCACAAUAGUUAAAGUCAUGUUAGGAUCAGAACCUGGAAGUAUUUCAUUUGUUUUCAAAAUGCAAAUCCGUGUUUCACUGGUGGUACUGUGCUGUGCAUGCACUGCAUAAACUUGCAAAUGAGAGAGUUGUAAGUCAUGCAUUGGAACCAGAACUUCCACUAUGCUUUUUUUUUCAAGAAAUAUGUGAUAAAAUUUUAGUUGUGGUGGAAAAAGAGCUUGCAUUUCUGUCAGGUGCGGGACAGAAUGUGGCUUCAAAAUACAGUCUUGCCCAUUUUGCAACUGUGUGGCUACUUCCACUUUUUUAUGUUUAUCUUUAGAAAAGAGAUACUCUUUAGAGUAUCAUAUCCUCAUGUGACAUCAAUUCUAUAUGCUUAGUAAUAAACCAAAUAUAAAUCUGUCUUGCUGAUACCUCAAGAUUUACUUUCAGUAUACAUAGACUGGAGUAUAUUCUGAUGAGUUUUUCCUGUGAGACGUGUAUCUGUUAAUACAAACUUUUAUUAAAAUUAUUCCAGAAAUACGUUUGUGAAGUUUUCCAGUGCAAAAAGGGGAACUUGAAGUUUGUUUGCUUUUUUUUUUAAUGUACACUCAUGAUUAACAGUGUAUAUGUUCACCUUUGUGGAAGUACACAUGCGUUUUGGGAAAUCUGACAUUUGUGUUCCAAAAACUCUGUAUAUUAAGUGGAGGAGGAUAUCAGUAUUUGUGUUCUUCUUUGCAAAGGAUGAAAAAUGGUGGUGUGUGUUAAAAAUAAGGAAUAUGAUUAAUUAAAUGGGUUAAAACUUCA